GCAGAGGUUAGAUUGAGUGUUUCUGCACUCUUUCCUCUCAGACGCUCUUGCUCACCUUAAGACACACAUACAGUCACACACACACUCAGUCACACAGACACAAAGUCUCACACACACACAGUUACACAGACAGACACACAGACAGACACACAGACAGACACACAGUCACACACACAGAUGGUCACACAGACAGUCACACAGACACACAGUCAGACACACAGACAAACACACAGUCACACAGACAGACACACAGACAGUCACACAGACAGACAGUCACACAGACAGUCACACAGACAGACAGUCACACAGACAGACAGUCACACAGACACACAGUCACACACACACAGACAGUCACACAGACACACAGUCAGACACACAGACAGACACACAGACAGACACACAGACAGACAUACAGACACACAUACAAACACACAGACAGACACACAGUCACACACACACACACACACACACACACACACACACACACACAGACAGACACACAGUCAGACACACAGACACAGACACAGACAGACACACAUACAGACACACAGUCACACAGACAGACACACAUUCACACAAACAGGCACACAGUCACACAGACAGACACACACAGACAGACACACAGACAGACACACAGACAGACACACAGUCAGACACACAGACAGACACACAGUCACACACACAGACAGUCACACAGACAGACAGUCACACAGACAGUCACACAGACAGACAGUCACACAGACAGACAGUCACACAGACACACAGUCACACACACACAGACAGUCACACAGACACACAGUCAGACACACAGACAGACACACAGACAGACACACAGACAGACAUACAGACACACAUACAAACACACAGACAGACACACAGUCACACACACACACACACACACACACACACACACAGACAGACACACAGACACACAGUCAGACACACAGACACAGACACAGACAGACACACAUACAGACACACAGACAGACACACAUUCACACAAACAGGCACACAGUCACACAGACAGACACACACAGACAGACACACAGACAGACACACAGACAGACACACAGUCAGACACACAGACAGACACACAGUCACACAGACACACACACAGUCACACAGACACACAGUCACACAGACACACACACAGUCACACAGACACAGUCACACAGACAGACACACAGUCACACAGACACAGACAGACAGACAGACAGACAGACACACAGACACAGACAGACACACAGUCACAUAGACAGACAGACAUACACACAUACAGACACACAGACACACCAUCACACAGUUCCAGGUGUGUGUUAGUACACAGUUAACAAGUUCAAAUAUUAAAUAAUAUUAUUAUUAUUAUUAUUAUUAUUAUUAUUAUUAUAUUAAUGCCCAGUAUCUCAAGAAAUCCACGUCCA
This 1421-nucleotide long non-coding RNA is filed under the name Cottoperca gobio. Its description in RNAcentral is "lncRNA (ENSCGOG00000016638.1)". Lineage: Eukaryota; Metazoa; Chordata; Actinopteri; Perciformes; Bovichtidae. The record is from RNAcentral.